Molecule: transfer RNA, 73 nt
Filed under: Podarcis lilfordi (Lilford's wall lizard)
Lineage: Eukaryota; Metazoa; Chordata; Lepidosauria; Squamata; Lacertidae
Description: tRNA.Ile
Source: RNAcentral
GGAUAGCUCAGUUGGCUAGAGCAUGGUUCUGAUUAUGCCAAGGUUGCAGGUUUGAUCCCCGUAAGGGGCAGCU